GUUAGCACCAGCUUCCAAGAGGGGCGGAGUCAUUUUGGGAAGAGGAAAACCGUAUGAGUCAAGAGCCAAUAAUUCUGUAUUUGAGAUCUCAAAGAUUUCUCUAGGCCCUUGCAAAGCUUGUAGGCCCCAGCUACUGUUACCAUGGAGCCUGAUAGAUGAAACAGCCCUAGUGGACGAGAAGGACGGUUGUUCCUCUGCUGGGCAGAUGAGGAAUCUGAAGCUGGACAGGGGAAAGGACGUGGAGAAAGUCGCACAGCAGAGCAGGAGCUCAAAGAGUUUUGUCAGACACCAAGGACCCAGUCUUUCCUAGAAAGUUUGCAAAGCCCUGCCUCCUUGGUAGAUUUCCUUUCUGCUCUCCUGCAAGUGCCCUGCUGAGCCUCUGGGUAGACCUGACUGGGUUGCCCCUUCGUUGCCAAGGACGGAUCAUCUUGCUGGGCUUUCCCAGGGGCAUUAAUGAAACAGCUCCUGUGGUUGCAGCCACACAAAGUCAUAGCAUCAAAGCACAGAGGAAAGAUCAGUGUCUGGAGUCAGACAGACCUGCGCUCUACAUCUCAGCUCUGCCACUUGCUAGAAAUCUGAUUUUGAGCAGGUCGCUUGAGGUCAGCUUCCUCAUCUGUAGAGGGUUUGGGAAGAAUUAAAUGAUGCAAUAAAAGCCUUAUGAAUGCAUUCAAUUACCUGGGAAUUCAUGUGCUUUUGGAGGAAGUAUGAAGCAGAGAAGCAAGACAGAUGCCUUUAUUUUCUCCCACGGAUGAGGGUGGAAGGCAAGGAACAGUGUUUGAGCUGAGGAACAGACAGUGCAAGGCCUAGGACAAAUGAAGUCUAAUACAGGUGGAUCACAGACUAUGGGGAAGGGAUUAGGGAGAAGUAAAUUAAGGCUUGAGAGCUCAGGCUGAUCCAGAUAGUUCAAAGCCAUGUAAGUACUUAGCACGUUAUCAUAAAAGAUAUGAGGAGCCACUGAAGGGUUUUAAACAAGGGAGUACCAUGACUUAUGUUUUUAUAACUUCACUUUUCUGGGGUAGAGAAUAGAUUGCAGGGGGUCAAGCCUGGAGACAGGCAGCCUGGUUAGGAGGCUGGUGAACCAGCCCAGGUGAUGGGGUGGCAGGCUUGACUAAGGAGAUGGAGGUGGGGAUAGAGAGAAGUGGAUGACUGUGCCGUUUGCUUGUUCUGUGGCUUCAAGUGAGCUAUUUAACCUCUCUAAGCCUCAGGUUUUUUUCAGUCGUUUCUUGAGGAUAAUAAUAGCAUCCUCAUCCCAGAGUUGUUAGGGGAUUAAAUGAGAUCAUGCACACAGAGUACAUAACGGCAUCUGCUCAUACCCAG
Molecule: long non-coding RNA, 1317 nt
Filed under: Equus caballus (horse)
Lineage: Eukaryota; Metazoa; Chordata; Mammalia; Perissodactyla; Equidae
Description: lncRNA (ENSECAG00000053836.1)
Source: RNAcentral